RNAcentral lists this ribosomal RNA (300 nucleotides) under uncultured Sedimentibacter sp. Its description in RNAcentral is "bacterial SSU rRNA". It matches the Rfam family "Bacterial small subunit ribosomal RNA", at positions 495 to 795 of the family's 1533-position model. Lineage: Bacteria; Bacillati; Bacillota; Tissierellia. The record is from RNAcentral.
GGCUAACUACGUGCCAGCAGCCGCGGUAAUACGUAGGGGGCGAGCGUUGUCCGGAUUUACUGGGCGUAAAGGGUGAGUAGGCGGUUAUAUAUGUCAGGUGUAAAAGGCUAUGGCUUAACCAUGGUUAGCACUUGAAACUGUAUGACUUGAGUGCAGGAGAGGUAAGCGGAAUUCCUAGUGUAGCGGUGAAAUGCGUAGAUAUUAGGAGGAACACCAGUGGCGAAGGCGGCUUACUGGACUGUAACUGACGCUGAGUCACGAAAGCGUGGGUAGCAAACAGGAUUAGAUACCCUUGUAGUC